UUUAACACUGUCCACGCUGCCUGAAAAUACUAAUCGCCUUGGGAAAUGAAAGCUGAAGGGCAUGGCUUGGCUUGCAUAAAGAUAAGACUACUUGUAAAUAAGGGAAAGAGUGGGAAAUGAGUGAUGAAUUUUCACAACUUGUCGGCACCUCAGCUGAUGUAAGCAGACGAUGAGGGGAAGGAAUAAAAGAAGGAAGAUGGAAGGAACAAGAGAAGAAGAAAAGAAAGGAGGGAGUGAGAGGGGAAAUGAAGGAUAAGAAGGAAUGACAAGGAGGAAAGGAAGAAGAAAAAAAAAGGAAAGGAAGAAACGAAAAAAAAAGGAAGGUCAGAGGGUGAAAGAAAGGAAGGAGUGAGAGGGGGAAUGAAGGAUAAGAAGGAAUAACAAGGAGGAAAGGAAAAAGAAAAAAAGGAAAGGAAGGACAGAGAG
Eriocheir sinensis (Chinese mitten crab) is the source of this 426-nucleotide long non-coding RNA. RefSeq lists it as uncharacterized. The record is from RefSeq and is a predicted model, not a curated record. NCBI's taxonomy places the organism in Eukaryota, Metazoa, Arthropoda, Malacostraca, Decapoda, Varunidae. The transcript is spliced from 2 exons.